CCUACGGGGUGCAGCAGUGGGGAAUAUUGCACAAUGGGGGAAACCCUGAUGCAGCGACGCCGCGUGAAGGAAGACGUCUUUAGGUAUGUAAACUUCCAUCAGCAGGGAAGAAAAUGACGGUACCUGUCUAAGAAGCCCCGGCUAAUUACGAGCCAGCAGCCGCGGCAACACGUAGGCGGCAAGCGUUAUCCGGAUUUACUGGGUGUAAAGGGAGCGUAGGCGGUGCAGCAAGUCAGAAGUGAAAGCCCGGGGCUCAACUCCGGGACUGCUUUUGAUACUGUUGAACUAGAUUGCAGGAGAGGUAAGUGGAAUUCCUAGUGUAGCGGUGAAAUGCGUAGAUAUUAGGAAGAACACCAGUGGCGAAGGCAGUUCACUGGACUGCAACUGACACUGAGGCUCGAAAGUGUGGGUAUCAAACAGGAUUAGAUACCCCGGUAGUC
This 440-nucleotide ribosomal RNA is filed under the name uncultured bacterium. RNAcentral's name for it is "partial 16S ribosomal RNA". It matches the Rfam family "Bacterial small subunit ribosomal RNA", at positions 338 to 795 of the family's 1533-position model. The record is from RNAcentral.